This is a long non-coding RNA of Ictalurus punctatus (channel catfish), 390 nucleotides long. Lineage: Eukaryota; Metazoa; Chordata; Actinopteri; Siluriformes; Ictaluridae. The record is from Ensembl.
CUGAAGUUCUCACAGAGAGAGGAUCAGUGCAGAUUCACUGUCACGUUCCAGACAAUGUUAAAGUGCGUCAGUGUUAUUUCUACCCAGAGAGAGACAACACAAAUCUAAAACUCUCUCCAUCAUGUCAGCUCUCAGUCACUGGUUCUGAACUGAUCUGGUGGACAGGACGAAGUUCUCCUGGAACACUUCAUAUUACUUGUUUCUACGCUUUGGAUAACUCUGUUCGUACUCCUUCUCCUCACUCUCUCCCAGCUCCAGUCACAGUGCUGAAUCAGAAACCGAGACUAAGCGUCAGUCAUGAUGGUCAGUUUGAUGAAUUGAGAUUUGUGUGUGAAAUAUCAGGGUCAGAGUCAGUAACUGCUGAUUUUAGCUGUAAUCUCUACACUGGAG